UUACACUCCCACAAUAUAAGCAUUUUCUUUUCUCCACAACCUUACCAGCAUCUCUUAUUUUUUUACUUUUUAAUAUAGGAAGGCUUAACUCUUAAUAUCUAAACACCGUACUUACAAAACAAAUUAGGAUUAAAAUAACUACAUCAAAAUUAUUACUAAAUCUCAGAUCUCAGCCUAAAUGUCACCUGUGCCUUCUCAGAGAGGUGAUUACUCCUGAUUACUCUUCUUUAUAAAAUUAGCACUUUCCCUCUUCCCAACCUCUAGAACCUUCUAUCAAAUCACCUGCUUAUCUUCUGUGCAGCCCACUAUGUUUUCUUGUUUAUAAUUCCUCUCCCUCCUUUAGAAUGGCAUUCUUUGAAUUAGAGGAUCUCUGUGCCUAUUUUAUUAGAAUAUCUGCAAUAUUUUUUAUAGAUCAUCAGAAAUUUAACAGAGUGGAAAACUGAAAGGUGAAGUGUUCCAAGUCAUUAAAGAUUAAAAAGUAACCAGAAUUCACGAGAAAGCAAAGUUAAGUUAUAAUGAUUUUUUAAAUGGACAUAAGGAUCAAUGGGAAAUCAAGAUAAAGCAAAGCUGAAAUUAUGGUAUUUUGAUGGACUUAGUGUCUAGUUUUAAAUGUUUUGUUUUGACUGACAGAACUGAAAUGCUAGACUGUCUGUUUCUAUAUAGGAUACCUGGCAACUGAAGUAAGACAUAUGAUAUUAAAAUAUAGCCUUUUACCCUGAAGGAUAUAACAGUUAUGUUGAGGAGAUGAAGACAUAAAAAAGAUAAGCAUGAAAUGUCUCAGCUGAGGAGUCACACAUAGGAAAACUCUCCUAAUCGCAUUUAUAACGUACUGUAGGAGAGGGCAUGCACACCUACACAGACAGCUCUCAGAGUACUUUGACAUACCUGAUCUCAUUUUUUCUACAUGCCUUCUGUUGGCCUGUGAAGUGCAAUUAAGAAGACAACUAUUCUGUAAAAGUAUGUGUAAAUACUUGGCCUCCUAAUUGCAAACAGAAUGACUUGGGUUAUGCUCAGCAUUGUUUCCUUUCAUGAGUAUGAAUAAUAAAGUGUUGAUUGUAGGUGCAUUUAAUUGUUAAAACCCUUCAGAACAGCCAUAUAGCCAUGAAAGACUUUGUUGUUUAUUUAAUAGCUUUUGGUCUAAUAAUCUCAUUGCUGGAAAAAUGUAUUCCAAGUCUGUAAUUGAGAAGAAGAAAGAUAAAGAUUCUAUACAGGAAAAUCGUUCAUUAAUGAGUUAUCUUUUUUCAAAUGUUUUAUUUUACUUUAAGUUCUGGGAUACAUGUGCAGAACGUGCAGGUUUGUUACAUAGGUAUACAUGUAAUGAGUUAUCUUUUAAAAGUGUAAUAAUCUGUGUUUUAGCCAACAGGGCAAUAAGUAAACUAUGGUAUGACAACCCUCUGAAUGCUUAUACUGCUAUUACAACCAUAAAUACUGAAUGCAGAAAAAUGCUUAGCCAAUAAAUGAAAAAUAUAUGAGGAUGUAUGCAUAUUAUUAUCAUAACUCUUUGUGUGUAUAUAGUGCAUAUUGUACAUAUGUAUAUGAUACCACACAUAGACACACACGCACACUCACACAUACGUACAAAAACCCACAGAAGAUACAGGAAAAUAAAACAGCUGCUGUUAGGAUGGCAAAUUUUUUUUAAGGUGUUAUUCUUAAUGUUCUUUUAGUGCUGUAAUGUUUUUAUUGGAAGUAAGAUUCAGGGCAGGGAAAACAGAACGAUAAAAAUUGACCACAUAUGUAUAAAAACAAGUGCCAGUAAGACAGAGUGAACUCUGGUUGUAUAGAGAAGUCAGAUAUAUGUAAAUCUUAAUAGAGCCAUUCAGUGUCAAGCGGUUAGAAGGUGUAUGUGGCAUCAGUUUAACUUCUGAUGGUGUGGUGACCUCCCAGCCUCCGAUACCCACCCUAACCUAACCUAGCACCUAGCACAAUGCUUGGCUUGUUAUUGUCAUCACUAACGGAUGGAUGGAAUCAGUGGAUGGUUUUCUAAGAACAUAAAUCCAAAUUAGAAUUUAAGAGGCCGGGUGCGGUGGCUCACGCCUGUAAUCCCAGCACUUUGGGAGGCCGAGGCAGGUGGAUCACGAGGUCAGGAGAUCGAGACCAUCCUGGCUAACAUGUUGAAACCCCAUCUCUACUAAAAAUACAUCAGUAUUCUAUUGAUGUGCCAAUCUAGGCACUUAGAUGAUAGAAUAAUAAGGUAAGAUAGGUGGGAAACACUAAUUAGAACCAGAAGCAUUUAGUUGGGUAAAUAGAAGGAAGGAAAGAACCCAGUUUGUUAGAGAACAGAGGAUCUGCAAAGCUGGGGAAGUAGCAUUCUCUUGGGUAUGAAAAUAGGAAAGGGUGGUGCACGGAUAUGAAUGAUGGCAGCUGGGAGGUGGGUAAACUGAUAAAAUCAGUGAUGAGCAAGAGUUUGCUAGAAGUUCCUGAAGCUUCUGGAGAGGUGGUCCUUGCUACUAUUAAAGGCAUUGUUCAAAGAAGGGCCAGAAAACCCUUGGAUCAGGCUUGUACUCGGAAUUGUUUUUAGAUGAGUUUCCUUGCUCAUAGGUAACAGAUCCGGAGCAGCUUUACUUCUUGCUUCUCCUCCUCUUCCUCUUCCUCCUCCUCCUAUUCCUCCACCACCAUUACCACCACCAUCAUCAUCCCUUUUAUUAUUAGCUCAUUUAAUCCUCAUAACAACUCUAUGAGGUAGGUCGUAUUUCCCUCAGUUUACAGUUUUGGAAACUGAGACACAGAGAGAUUAAGUAUUUUACCUAAAUUCACACAGCUAAUAAACAGAGAUAAAAUUUGAACCCAGAGCAUCUGGUAUGAGAGCCAGUGCUCUUCUCCACUGUUACACUGCACAGUUGCGCCUGGGUAAGCAAUGAUUAUUUCCUUAUUAAAAAUAAAGACCUAUAGCUUCUUAGCCUGUCCUUUCUCAAAAAAUUAUAUUAGGAUCUCUGGAUUGUUUUUGUAUGAUAUAUUUCAAAAAAUUUUUAACAUACAAAUAUUAGAUAUGCUCACUCUCAAAAUGCAAAUAAUAUGGAAGUAGUAUGAGAAUAAUUACCCUCAUUCCUCCCUUCUAGGGAUGACCACAGGUAAUUUUUAGUGACUAUCUUUUCAGUCCUCUCUGGUUGUGUAUAUAUUUACAUGCAUAGGAUUGCACUUCUUUUGUUAUUUUAUACAUAUAUCUUUACAUACAUAUGUAUUGUGCAUAUGGAUGUACAUGUGUUGAUGGAAUUGUGCUUCACAUGUUCUUUUGCUUUUUGUAGUCUUUGUAUCAUUGUCACUGAGGUCUGGCCAUGUUAAUGAGUUUAGGUGUAUAUCACUGGAGCUCUUUGAUUUGCCGUUGUGUAUCCCUUCCCUGACAAACUGCUGGCACAUAAUAGAUGCUCAACAAAUAUUUGUUUAAUGAAUUGUGUUGAUUCCAUUAUCUUAUGCCACAAUGUUUAAGUAGUCAUUUUUUAUUUUACUCAUUUAUUUACUUAUUUUCAGACAGGGUCUUACUAUGUCACCCAGACUGGAGCGCAGUGGCGCACUCAUGGCUCAUUGUAGCCUUGACCUCCCAGGCUCAAGUGAUCCUCCUGCCUCAGCCUCCCAAUUAGCUAGGACCACAGGUGUGCACCACCAUACUCAGCUCUUUUUAUUAUUAUUAUUAUUAUUUAUAGAGAAGGGGGCUUGCCAUGUGGCCCAGGCUUGUCUUGAACUCCUGUGCUCAAGCAAUCUGCCCACCUCAGCCUACCAAAGUGCUGGGAUAACAGGUAUGAGCCACCAUGCCUGACCAAGUAGUCAUUUUUUAAUUGAACGUUUAGUUUGUUUCCUCUUCUCCACUAGUAUAAAAAAUGCCAUUUCCUCAUUUCAGGAAGGCUGGCCAUUUUGUGAUGAGACCUUUAUAGUUUGGCAGGCUCUUGGCAGGAUGAAGAUGAAGCUGUUUUCUCUCCAUCUGGCCAGGUAUUUGCUGGCUGCCGUUGAUCAGUCCCAAUGGAGACAGUGACUCUUGGGAAAUUAUUUCCUCCUACAUUAGAGGCCAGAUUUAAACAAAUAAAGCUUGAUUUUAUGUUGGCCUGUUCUUUAGAGACUCUUUAUCUUUGGUGGGUAGAAGAGCUCCAGUUGGAUUAUUUGUCUUUUCCAUGAAUAAUGUUCGUUUAACUGAAUUAGCAGGGGAAGAGCAAUGAAAUAUUAGAAAUGCUUAUUGUACCCUUUAGAGUAGUGCUUCUUAACCUUUCUGGAAUCUCAGAGCCCUUUUAGAAUGGCUCUGGGACUAAGCUGUGGGUCCUCUGCUUAGAGAAGUGCACAUGGGUGGUCAGUGUAUCACGGCCCCUGAAGAUGAGGAGUAUGGGUUGAGGACCUCUGUACUUAGGGGAGCUGUUGCCUGUGUUUGCCUUCCCUUCCUGCAUAGUCUCUUUGCUCUUUUCCUGUGACAGUGUUUUGGUGACACUGCUCUGGAAACUUCGGUGGCUUGUUGUUGUUGUUGUUCUUGAUAUUUUUGAGGUUGGGGAUGUAUGUAAAGAAUUAACAAGUGGAUUGCAUCUUGGUAGGCAGAAAGGAAGAAUACAGCAUUUUAUUUUCUGCCAGUGUGUAUAAACAGCCCACACCAGGGACUUUUUGUAGAUACUGUUAGUCAUGUUAAGCAGAUGAACAGGGUGCAUAUAAAGUGUUUGUUGAACAUGAGAGUUGGUUGUAGGAAAAUUCCCACUGAGCCCAGUGCUGCACACAUAUUCAGCACUCGUGAACCAGGCCUUCUGCUAGAUUACAGGAAUAGAAAGAUAAUAAAUCCCAGUUUCUGCCCUUUAAGGGCUUAUGUUCUAGGAGAGGGUAAGGGUCAUGAAAUGAAAUAAAUGGAGUAGUUUUAUUAGUGAGCCUGGUUUGUUUCCAAAGGCCAGAAACUGGCUCAAGGAAAAAAGAGAAUUUUUUGGUUCAUGUAUCUGAAAAUUCCAGAAGUAGCCUUUGACUCUUUCUGUUUUCCUCUCUGUUGGCUUCAUCCUUAGGUUACAUCUUUGUGUGUGACCCACCAGCCAUCCACUUCUGGCGGCUCCAACCUCAUAUCACCCUUAACAGUCAGCAGUUCUGGCAAGACGACAUACUUCUUCCCCUAUUGUUCCAAUAGAAGUCUUGGAGUUGGGUCACAUGCCCAUUCCUAAGCCAAUCAUUGGGGCCAGGAAGAGGGCAGAUAGAAUAUGCUGAUUGGCCAGGGUGUAACAGACAGGGGAGCCAUCUGGACUGUCAUCUGGGGAGGAAUGGUUCCCCAAGGGAGAAUCAAGGUGUUGUUACCAGAAGUGGGAAUGGAUGUGGGGCAAGUAGAAACAAGGACCACUACAGCAGUAAUCUACUAAUAGAAGUUUCUGUAAGAUGUGGGUGGACAAGGAAGAGGAUGUGACGGUCACUCUAGAAAGGCUUUCUGGAGAAGGCGAUGUUUAACCAAGUUUCUAAUGAAUGAGUCAAUGAAUCAAAGACUAAAAUAGCCAUCUUUCAGGACAUAGGAUUCUUUCAUAUGAAACUUUUUAAAGUGUGAUUGUGUUAGUUUAAAUUCUGGUUUCAAUCCCAUUUUGGUAAAAUUUAAGAUUCUACAAAUUUUUUAGGUGGCAUUGGAGGUUUGAGUUUAAGUAAAUUUGAAGACUGAGAUACAAAUUUGAAAAUAAUUUUUUUUCAGAGAUGUCCAUUAUAAUGAUACUUAAUGUGGUGGGUCUAUGUAUUUGGUACAUAUUCUAAGUAGGAGGAAAAUAACCGAAGUUAUAACUGUUUCUCCUUAUCACUGAUCAUUUGUAAGGGACUAUGCUUGGUACAGUACUAUAAACCCUUGAUUUGUUGGUGGGGCAGAAUAACCAUGGUUAUAAGUAAAUAAAACUAGCAUGCUUUUGAAGAGAAUGAAAUUGCAGGAGAAGGAAAGCAUCUAUAUCUUGGAAGGUUCCAGGUGCCUAGAACUUGACAGUAGCCAUUAGGAGACUGCUACCCGGUUUCUGGUCAGAUGUGUUCUUGUCUCACUGAAGCCCUGGAUUAGCUGCUAUCUCCUCAGCUGGGGAGGCCCCAGGGUAUCACUAAUUAGCAGCGCUGCAGGAAGUUUGAGCAAGUUUAAUCAUAUCUUUAAGCGAAGUCUUCUGGUAGUGCUAGACUACUCUUUUCUGUACCUGCUGAUUUUUUUUUAGAAACGGAGGCUGAUGACACCUUUUGAGUACUUACUGUAUACCAUUCUUUCUGCCAAAAAAGUCUCGUGUAUUGUUUCUUGAUCCUAUGAAGGUAGACACAAUUAUCCCUGUUUUGCAUUUCAGGAAACCAAAAGCUUAAAGAGGCCAUACCCUCAACUUUUUCAAUUUAGCACCAAGCUAAUCUGAGAGUGCUUGAAGGCUUCUCUGAUGAGCCCAGAGAAAGACAAGAGGAAGCUGACAUUAAGGAUGAGGUUGAUUUCAUUUCCUAUGUGAUACACGGAGUUUAAGAUACAGUUGUGGGCCAGGCACGGUGGCUCACGCCUAUAAUCCCAGCAUUUUGGGAGGUCGAGGCGGGCAGAUCAGUUGAG
RNAcentral lists this long non-coding RNA (6484 nucleotides) under Homo sapiens (human). RNAcentral's name for it is "HSALNT0329993". The record is from RNAcentral. Lineage: Eukaryota; Metazoa; Chordata; Mammalia; Primates; Hominidae.